This 263-nucleotide ribosomal RNA is filed under the name uncultured bacterium. Its description in RNAcentral is "partial 16S ribosomal RNA". It matches the Rfam family "Bacterial small subunit ribosomal RNA", at positions 793 to 1055 of the family's 1533-position model. The record is from RNAcentral.
GUCCUGGCCCUAAACGAUGAAUGCUUGGUGUGGCGGGUAUCGAUCCCUGCCGUGCCGAAGCUAACGCAUUAAGCAUUCCGCCUGGGGAGUACGGUAGCAAGGCUGAAACUCAAAGGAAUUGACGGGGGCCCCGCACAAGCGGUGGAGCAUGUGGUUUAAUUCGACGCAACGCGAAGAACCUUACCCAGGCUCGAACGGUAGAUGACAUCUUACGAAAGUAGGCUCCCGCAAGGGCAUCUAUCGAGGUGCUGCAUGGCUGUCGU